AUGGGUUCGGGCUUUUCUUGCGCAGACUAGGUGGGAGGCUAUGAAGAAAUACUUCUGGGUAUUUUGGAGCCAUCAGUGAGAGACCACUCUGGAAAAGCUAGAAUUCUAAUGGCGUUCCUUGAAGCAGGACGCUUGACAGUUUCAGGUGGGCAGUUUGACUGGGGCGGUCACCUCCUAAAAGGUAACGGAGGUGUGCAAAGGUUCCCUCAGGCUGGACGGAAAUCAGCCGUAGAGUGUAAAGGCAGAAGGGAGCUUGACUGCAAGACCUACAAGUCGAGCAGGGGCGAAAGCCGGCCUUAGUGAUCCGACGGUUCCGUGUGGAAGGGCCGUCGCUAAACGGAUAAAAGUUACUCUAGGG
This 358-nucleotide ribosomal RNA is filed under the name Chlorella sp. CLEB. RNAcentral describes it as "bacterial LSU rRNA". It matches the Rfam family "Bacterial large subunit ribosomal RNA", at positions 2117 to 2473 of the family's 2925-position model. The record is from RNAcentral. Lineage: Eukaryota; Viridiplantae; Chlorophyta; Trebouxiophyceae; Chlorellales; Chlorellaceae.